UACGUAGGGUGCGAGCGUUAAUCGGAAUUACUGGGCGUAAAGGGCGCGUAGGCGGACAGUUAAGUCAGAGGUGAAAGCCCAGGGCUCAACCCUGGAAUAGCCUUUGAUACUGGCUGUCUUGAGUGCGGGAGAGGUGUGUGGAACUCCGAGUGUAGAGGUGAAAUUCGUAGAUAUUCGGAAGAACACCAGUGGCGAAGGCGACACACUGGCCCGUAACUGACGCUGAGGCGCGACA
Molecule: ribosomal RNA, 235 nt
Filed under: uncultured bacterium
Lineage: Bacteria
Description: partial 16S ribosomal RNA
Rfam family: Bacterial small subunit ribosomal RNA
Source: RNAcentral